This 76-nucleotide transfer RNA is filed under the name Alphaproteobacteria bacterium. Its description in RNAcentral is "tRNA-Val". It matches the Rfam family "tRNA". From Rfam's summary of the family: Transfer RNA (tRNA) molecules are approximately 80 nucleotides in length. The record is from RNAcentral. Lineage: Bacteria; Pseudomonadati; Pseudomonadota; Alphaproteobacteria. RNAcentral also lists the same sequence under 3 other names.
GGGCGAUUAGCUCAGUUGGAAGAGCGUCUCGUUUACACCGAGAAGGCCGGCGGUUCGAGCCCGUCAUCGCCCACCA